UACGUAGGGUGCAAGCGUUAAUCGGAAUUACUGGGCGUAAAGCGUGCGCAGGCGGUCUUGUAAGACAGAGGUGAAAUCCCCGGGCUCAACCUGGGAACUGCCUUUGUGACUGCAAGGCUUGAGUACGGUAGAGGGGGAUGGAAUUCCGCGUGUAGCAGUGAAAUGCGUAGAUAUGCGGAGGAACACCGAUGGCGAAGGCAAUCCCCUGGACCUGUACUGACGCUCAUGCACGAAAGCGUGAGGAGCAAACAGG
RNAcentral lists this ribosomal RNA (253 nucleotides) under uncultured bacterium. Its description in RNAcentral is "partial 16S ribosomal RNA". It matches the Rfam family "Bacterial small subunit ribosomal RNA", at positions 524 to 776 of the family's 1533-position model. The record is from RNAcentral.